UACAGAGGGUGCAAGCGUUGUUCGGAAUUAUUGGGCGUAAAGCGCGUGUAGGCGGCUUUGCAAGUCGGGUGUGAAAGCCCUCAGCUCAACUGAGGAAGUGCGCCCGAAACUGCAGAGCUUGAGUACCGGAGAGGAUGGUGGAAUUCCCCAAGUAGAGGUGAAAUUCGUAGAUAUGGGGAGGAACACCGGUGGCGAAGGCGACCAUCUGGACGGAUACUGACGCCGAGACGCGAAAGCGUGGGUAGCAAACAGG
Molecule: ribosomal RNA, 253 nt
Filed under: uncultured bacterium
Lineage: Bacteria
Description: partial 16S ribosomal RNA
Rfam family: Bacterial small subunit ribosomal RNA
Source: RNAcentral